GGGCCCGCACAAGCGGUGGAGCAUGUGGUUUAAUUCGAUGAUACGCGAGGAACCUUACCAAGGCUUAAAUGUAGGAGGACAGGCUGUGAAAACAGCCCUUCUUCGGACUUCCUACAAGGUGCUGCAUGGUUGUCGUCAGCUCGUGCCGUGAGGUGUCGGGUUAAGUCCCAUAACGAGCGCAACCCCUAUCUUUAGUUGCCAGCGGUUCGGCCGGGGACUCUAAAGAAACUGCCCGCGCAAGCGGUGAGGAAGGUGGGGAUGACGUCAAAUCAUCACGGCCCUUACGUCUUGGGCUACACACGUGCUACAAUGGUAGUGACAAUGGGCAGCCACCCCGCGAGGGGGAGCAAA
Molecule: ribosomal RNA, 351 nt
Filed under: uncultured bacterium
Lineage: Bacteria
Description: bacterial SSU rRNA
Rfam family: Bacterial small subunit ribosomal RNA
Source: RNAcentral